This 1485-nucleotide ribosomal RNA is filed under the name Lacticaseibacillus rhamnosus. RNAcentral's name for it is "bacterial SSU rRNA". It matches the Rfam family "Bacterial small subunit ribosomal RNA". Lineage: Bacteria; Bacillati; Bacillota; Bacilli; Lactobacillales; Lactobacillaceae. The record is from RNAcentral.
AACGCUGGCGGCGUGCCUAAUACAUGCAAGUCGAACGAGUUCUGAUUAUUGAAAGGUGCUUGCAUCUUGAUUUAAUUUUGAACGAGUGGCGGACGGGUGAGUAACACGUGGGUAACCUGCCCUUAAGUGGGGGAUAACAUUUGGAAACAGAUGCUAAUACCGCAUAAAUCCAAGAACCGCAUGGUUCUUGGCUGAAAGAUGGCGUAAGCUAUCGCUUUUGGAUGGACCCGCGGCGUAUUAGCUAGUUGGUGAGGUAACGGCUCACCAAGGCAAUGAUACGUAGCCGAACUGAGAGGUUGAUCGGCCACAUUGGGACUGAGACACGGCCCAAACUCCUACGGGAGGCAGCAGUAGGGAAUCUUCCACAAUGGACGCAAGUCUGAUGGAGCAACGCCGCGUGAGUGAAGAAGGCUUUCGGGUCGUAAAACUCUGUUGUUGGAGAAGAAUGGUCGGCAGAGUAACUGUUGUCGGCGUGACGGUAUCCAACCAGAAAGCCACGGCUAACUACGUGCCAGCAGCCGCGGUAAUACGUAGGUGGCAAGCGUUAUCCGGAUUUAUUGGGCGUAAAGCGAGCGCAGGCGGUUUUUUAAGUCUGAUGUGAAAGCCCUCGGCUUAACCGAGGAAGUGCAUCGGAAACUGGGAAACUUGAGUGCAGAAGAGGACAGUGGAACUCCAUGUGUAGCGGUGAAAUGCGUAGAUAUAUGGAAGAACACCAGUGGCGAAGGCGGCUGUCUGGUUUGUAACUGACGCUGAGGCUCGAAAGCAUGGGUAGCGAACAGGAUUAGAUACCCUGGUAGUCCAUGCCGUAAACGAUGAAUGCUAGGUGUUGGAGGGUUUCCGCCCUUCAGUGCCGCAGCUAACGCAUUAAGCAUUCCGCCCGGGGAGUACGACCGCAAGGUUGAAACUCAAAGGAAUUGACGGGGGCCCGCACAAGCGGUGGAGCAUGUGGUUUAAUUCGAAGCAACGCGAAGAACCUUACCAGGUCUUGACAUCUUUUGAUCACCUGAGAGAUCAGGUUUCCCCUUCGGGGGCAAAAUGACAGGUGGUGCAUGGUUGUCGUCAGCUCGUGUCGUGAGAUGUUGGGUUAAGUCCCGCAACGAGCGCAACCCUUAUGACUAGUUGCCAGCAUUUAGUUGGGCACUCUAGUAAGACUGCCGGUGACAAACCGGAGGAAGGUGGGGAUGACGUCAAAUCAUCAUGCCCCUUAUGACCUGGGCUACACACGUGCUACAAUGGAUGGUACAACGAGUUGCGAGACCGCGAGGUCAAGCUAAUCUCUUAAAGCCAUUCUCAGUUCGGACUGUAGGCUGCAACUCGCCUACACGAAGUCGGAAUCGCUAGUAAUCGCGGAUCAGCACGCCGCGGUGAAUACGUUCCCGGGCCUUGUACACACCGCCCGUCACACCAUGAGAGUUUGUAACACCCGAAGCCGGUGGCGUAACCCUUUUAGGGAGCGAGCCGUCUAAGGUGGGACAAAUGAUUAGG